Molecule: long non-coding RNA, 910 nt
Filed under: Olea europaea (common olive)
Lineage: Eukaryota; Viridiplantae; Streptophyta; Magnoliopsida; Lamiales; Oleaceae
Description: long non-coding RNA (OEUR_LNC001638)
Source: RNAcentral
AAUAUCAUCAUGUCCUUUGUUGUAUUCUUAACGUUAAUGUUUAUCACGCCUCUUUUUGAGUACACCCCGAAUGCAAUCCUCUCGUCCAUUAUUAUCUCUGCAGUCAUCGGCUUAAUUGAUUGUGAUGCAGCAAUUUUGAUUUGGAAAACUGAUAAAUUCGACUUUGUUGCUUGUAUGGGAGCCUUUUUCGGGGUUGUUUUUGCCUCUGUCGAGAUUGGCCUCUUAAUUGCGGUGAGAAUAUGCCUCUCUCAUUUGAAGUUUGUUAUUAAGAUUUGUACUAAAUGCAUUAAAUUCUGAUAAUAGGUCUCAAUAUCUUUCGCCAAAUUACUCUUACAAGUUACAAGGCCAAGGACAGCAAUCCUUGGAAAAAUUCCCAGGACAAAUGUUUAUAGGAAUAUCCUACAAUAUCCUGAGGCAACGAAGGUCCCGGGUGUGUUAAUCGUGAGGGUUGAUUCGGCAAUUUACUUUUCUAACUCUAACUAUAUAAGGGAGAGGUAAUAUGUCUUCCCAUUUAAUUCUCUUCUGCAAAUCUUAAUUCUCUCUACUUUUAUGUUGUUUUGAUUGAAAUUUUGAAUAGUCUGGCAAGGUGCAAAUUUUGUCUCUAAAGUUUCGUAUCGUAACCUAAGUUUUAUCUCAUUUGAGUUGUAAAAUUUUCAUGUUUUCAGGAUAAUAAGGUGGCUAACCGACGAGGAAGAGCAACUGAAAAGGGCUGGCCUUCCUGAGAUUCAAUUUUUGAUAGUCGAAAUGUCACGUAAGUACUUUCUUACCUCGUCCAACAAUUUCUGAGCAUACUAUUGCACUUUUUUUGAAUGAUACGAUCUCUCGUGAAUUUUCAUUCUCCGCAGCCGUUACUGACAUCGACACCAGCGGCAUCCAUGCAUUGGAAGAACUGUACAGAAGUCUUCAAAAG